RNAcentral lists this ribosomal RNA (233 nucleotides) under Streptococcus sp. HMSC072D05. RNAcentral's name for it is "partial 23S ribosomal RNA". It matches the Rfam family "Bacterial large subunit ribosomal RNA", at positions 810 to 1040 of the family's 2925-position model. Lineage: Bacteria; Bacillati; Bacillota; Bacilli; Lactobacillales; Streptococcaceae. The record is from RNAcentral.
UGUGGGUAGCGGAGAAAUUCCAAACGAACUUGGAGAUAGCUGGUUCUCUCCGAAAUAGCUUUAGGGCUAGCGUCGACAUAAAGAUUCUUGGAGGUAGAGCACUGUUUGGGUGAGGGGUCCAUCCCGGAUUACCAAUCUCAGAUAAACUCCGAAUGCCAAUGAAUUAUGGUCGGCAGUCAGACUGCGAGUGCUAAGAUCCGUAGUCGAAAGGGAAACAGCCCAGACCACCAGCU